This is a small nuclear RNA of Oryctolagus cuniculus (rabbit), 123 nucleotides long. Its record names the gene U4. It matches the Rfam family "U4 spliceosomal RNA". From Rfam's summary of the family: U4 small nuclear RNA (U4 snRNA) is a component of the major U2-dependent spliceosome. The structure of U4 snRNA from yeast and human has been reported. Lineage: Eukaryota; Metazoa; Chordata; Mammalia; Lagomorpha; Leporidae. The record is from Ensembl.
AGCUUUGCGCAGUGGCAGUAUCAUAGCCAAUGAGGUUUAUCCGAGGCGCCAUUAUUGCUAAUUGAAAACUUUUACCAAUACCCCGCCGUGACAACUUGAAAUAUUAGCAGUUAUUUUCAACUA